This 468-nucleotide ribosomal RNA is filed under the name uncultured bacterium. RNAcentral describes it as "partial 16S ribosomal RNA". It matches the Rfam family "Bacterial small subunit ribosomal RNA", at positions 28 to 507 of the family's 1533-position model. The record is from RNAcentral.
GACGAACGCUGGCGGCGUGCUUAACACAUGCAAGUCGAACGGAAAGGCCCUGCUCUUGUGGGGUGCCCGAGUGGCGAACGGGUGAGUAUCACGCGAGUAACCUGUCCUUGACUUUGGGAUAACUUCAGGAAACUGGGGCUAAUAUCGGAUAGGAGCUCCUGCUGCACGGUGGGGGUUGGAAAGUUUCGGCGGUUGGGGAUGGACUCGCGGCUUAUCAGCUUGUUGGUGGGGUAGUGGCUUACCAAGGCUUCGACGGGUAGCCGGCCUGGGAGGGUGACCGGCCACAUUGGGACUGAGGUACGGCCCAGACGGCUACGGGAGGCAGCGGUGGGGAAUAUGGCACAAUGGGCGGAAGCCUGAUACAGCAACGCCGCGUGCGGGAUAACGGCCUUCGGGUUAUAAACCGCUUUCGACUGUGACGAAGCGUGAGUGACGGUAAUGGGUAAAGAAGCAACGGCUAACUACGUG